CAUUAAACAAAAAUCUUACCCUAUCCAAUAUUUUUCUCUUAGAAAAGAACAUAUCGAUAAGCUCAAUUUUCUCCACAUCUACAGUUAGCGGGAAAGAUGGUUAGAGAAAAAUCAGGGAGUGUUGGAGGAAAUUUCAAAACCACCUUCUCUCCCAUGUUAUUUUUGAAGAAAAUCAGCGAAGAAGAAAUAUAAUUUGGUGAGUCUCUCCAAGGUUUGUUAGAGGAAAAUUAGCAUGGUGGUAACCCGCGUUUCUCUGCUAAAUGUUACAAAAAGAUUAUCUGCAUCUCAAUUGUUUGAUUACAGAACAUAAAAUUCACCGUUCUCUUCUUACAAUUUUUUGUGGUUUUGCAUCGGUUGAAUUUAUUCAGACCCUAUCUUGGUGUUCCAAUCUCUUAAAGGGAUGCAAUUGAUGUUUAUCUCAAACCUUUGAUAGAUGAAUUAAAGGAAUUAUAGAAAACUGGAGUUGAGAGCAUUGAUGCAUCAGCUAAACAAAAUUUUAUGCUACAUGAAGCUUUGUUAUGGACCAUUAAUGGUUUUCUGGCAUAUGGAAAUUUGUCAGGAUGGAUUACCAAAAGGAAAAUUGGUUUACCCGUGUUGCAACAAAGAAACUCUUUCAACUAGGUUGGUAAAAGGUCAAAAGGAUUGUUAUAUGAACCAUAGAUGCUUUCUUCCUCAUAAUCACAAAUGGAGGAAAGAUAAUGAUUCCUUUGAUGUCACACAUGAGCAAAGAUUACAACCGAAAAUGUUAUCUCGUAAUGAUAUACUUUAUCAAGUAGGUGAUUUAGAAGGUCUAACAAAAUCAAAGGAUCCAAGGCAGAAAAUUAAAAUAUCACACGCGAAUAGAGGUGAUAAUUGGAACAACAAGUGUAUUUUCUUUGAUCUUCCAUAUUGGAAUACUCUAUGGUUGCGACAUAAUUUAGAUGUGAUGCACAUUGAGAAGAAUAUUUGUGAUAAUAUAUUGGGGACAAUCUUAAAUGUCAAAGGAAAAACCAAAGAUACCUUGAAUUCGCAAUUGGAUUUGCAAGCAACGAACAUAAAGAAGGAAUUGCAUCUGAUAGAAAAAGGACAUAAAUAUGAGUUUCCUACUGCAAGUUACACAUUAUAUCCUACACAUAAGAACAAAAUACUUCAGUUUCUUAAAGAAUUUAAAGGUCCCAGAAGGGUUUUCAUUAAAUACUUCUCAGUGUGUCAACCUUAAAGAUUGGAAACUUUCAGGAUUGAAAAGCCAUGAUUGCCAUGUUAUUCUACAACAUUUAAUUCCACUUGCUUUAUGUGGUAUGCUCUGCAAAUCUGUGCUUGAAACACUUAUUGAGUUUUCAAUAUUUUUAAAUAUACUUGGAGCAAAAUGUUUAAGAGUAGAUGAGAUAGAGAAAAUAGAAGCCCAAAUUCCAAUCAAUUUGUGGAAGUUAGAAAAGGUUUUCGUUCGUGCAUUUUUUGAUAUCAUUGUCCACUUGUCAAUUCAUUUAGCUAAUAAUGCUAAGAUUGUUGUGCCUAUCCAAUAUUAAUGGAUGUAUCCGAUGGAGAGAUGGCUAUACUUUCUAAAAUCAUUUAUUCGUAACAUGGCUCGCCUAAAAUGUUGUAUUGCACAAGGAUAUAUAGCAUUUGAAUGUAUGAACUUAUGUUUAAGGUAUUUGCAUACGAUGGAUACAAAAUUUAAUCUCUCCAAAAGGAAUUAUGAUGGUGGUUCUAUUGAAUCUGAUGGAGGUUUAGAAUUUUUUUUCAACCUAGAAAAAGUUUGAGGGGUGACAAACAAGUCAAUCAUGAUUAAAGUGAAUUUGAGCUUGCACAUUUUUAUAUUUUGAGGAACUGUGAUGAAAUUAAACCAUUUCUCGAGUAAGUAAUGGCUCAUUAUAAUAAGUUACUCUUAUAUUUUUCAUAGCCUUACAUAAAAUGACAUGUUAUACUGAAAUAUAAAUUAUUAGCAGAGAAUUUUAACAAAUUUCAAUUGAUACAUCAAAAAAUUAUUCAGAGAUUGAAUGGAAUAGACGAUUCCUUAGUUGGUUAAAACUAAAGGUGAGAAGUUAAGCCUUGUAUAUCUAAAAUCAAUUUAUGAAUUAUAUUUUCUGAGCAAUCUAGCUAAAUUUUAUAGGUUCAAGAAUUUCACAAGCACGAUAAGCGUAAGAAAAUAAUGGAUUUGCUCUCAUUAUCAUUUGGUCCUCUUCCAUAUGUGACAUGUUUUAAAAGCUAUGCUACUAAUAAAUAUAGGUUUCAUGUGCGAGAUUAGAAUAAACGUUUGAGAACUCAACAUUGUGGGGUGGUUGUAGUUGGUGAGACAAAUGAAGAGAAUAAAAAUAUUGAUUAAAUUAGAUGAAUAUGACUUUAUAAGUGUCAACGAAAGCGAUUUUUUAAAAUAAAUGAGCCUUUUAUUUUCGCCAAUAAAGCAUCACAAGUGUUUUAUGCUGAUGAUCUUGCAAAAAUGGAUGUCAUAUUGUACAAAAGGAUUAAGCUCGUGUUUCUUUUGAUGUUGGUGAUAAAGAGUCUGACGAUUCAUCAUAGCUUCAAGGAAUCUAGGAGGCAGUUGUGACUUCGAAUUUAUUUUUGAGUUCUUAUUUUAGUAUACUAUGGUUUUAAUUUCAUUUUUCAAUUAUUUUCUUGGUGAUUCUUUGGUUGUUCAUAUAUAUGGACUUUUUAUAAGUAGUAACGUAAUAUUAUUUAUUUACAUGUAAAUUGUGCUUAAAAACAUUGAAGCUUGCUAUGAUUUUAUGCGUAUAUUUUGAGUGACUUGUAAUUAAUUAUUUUUCUUUUUUAAAUAUGCUUUAUAAUAUACAUUUUUUGAAACUUAUAUUCUAUUCCUGGGAUGACCACAUCCCUGUCACUAUUUUGAGAUGUAGAUUAGUUAGGUUGUAGAUAUGUAGAAAUCAAGCACUUUCAAAAUGUCAAUUUCAUGUCAUUUUUCAUUCUAGAAAGCUAUUCUUAUUCUAUUUAAUAUUGUUUUAUCUUGGUAGUUGUACCUCUAGAAAGAGAUGUAGUAUUGAAAACUUGUUCAAUGACUAUUCUAUUAUUGGAUGAACUAAAAAAGAAGUGCUUUUUCUACAAGUUUACCUGGAUCCAUAAAAAAUUCUAAACUCUAGAAUAAAAUCAACUGUCAAGCCUAAUAAACUUUCAUACCUUCCACCUGGUGAUUUUGUAGUUAGGGGACGAGGGAUAAUCAUACAAUAUUUGGGAUCUGUUAGAGUUAGGGCUGAAGAAAGAACUCCAAGAAGCAAAAUUCUAAACAUCAAUCCAUCAACAUCCUAUAGAAAUGAUCAAGUACAUAAUAUUGAUCAUGUACUCCUGGUUUUGAUCUAGCUGAAGGUAAUGCUCCCUGCUCUCCAGAAUUCGAACUAAUGGAGGAUGCUAAAAUAAAUGAAAUAAGUAUUUACCGUCUCCAUUUUUUUGUUUGCUUUUGGUGUGAUGAAACUCUUCUUUUUGUCUGAAUUAAUUCGCAAGUGCAUGUGAGUCCGAAAAUACUAAAAAUGUUAAAUUGAGACCGUAAAAAUGUUGACCGACUCAAACUUGGAGAAAAGUUAAAUAUCAAUUUUUACCAAAAUUGAGUUGUUGGAAAAAAUUAUGCCUCAUUUGUGAGACACUUGGGUAUUUUAAUUCGUGAUCAUAGUAUGUGCCUAUUACGGGUGCGCUCAUGGACAAACAUUAAAGAAAAUCAUCUAGAGCACAUUUGGGAUUCUGUAACUGUAAGUAUAUGUAGAGUUUUAUUAGCUUUAUAUUUGACUUCUUAUACGAAAAAAGUAAGAUCAAUGUGCUAUAAUUAUGCAAAACAUGUGGGACUAUUAAGGUAAGUAUAUAGAGAGCUAUUAACUAAUUGAGUUUAUGUUUAAUGGUACUUGUGAAAUAUUACAUGAUAAAUUUAGCUUUGAUGACAUGAAUUCCAUGAAAGAACAUGUCCUUCAACACAUGAGAAGGUUGUGGAAUAACUGGAGAGGAUCACUUCACAAGAUUAUGAAGUCUAAGCCAUUUGGUGAUGCUCUAAGAGAUAUGCAAAGAGGGGUAGACAAGAGUAAUUCUUGGUCAGCCUUCAACACCAGCAUCUUCAAGUGAUCCAUAGCUAGUACCAUUAAAAAAGUUGGUAAAUCGAUUUUUCUUUCUCUUUGUGAUGUACUCAAGAUACAUGGAAGGACAUUGAGAUCUCAAUUUUUUCCUUAGCUUUUUGUUGUAACCUGCUUUUUAUUUACCAUGUACAAUUGAUUCCUGGGUGGUCCUUGUAUACUCUCUUUCACAGUAGAUCUGAGACCAAUAAUGUUGGGUGGGGCUCGAACACUCUCUAUUGUAGUGGAAUUUGAAUCUCUACUCCUUUUUUCAGAAAAUCUCAUAUUUCUCAUCCAUA
This is a non-coding RNA of Solanum lycopersicum (tomato), 4321 nucleotides long. The record is from RefSeq and is a predicted model, not a curated record. Lineage: Eukaryota; Viridiplantae; Streptophyta; Magnoliopsida; Solanales; Solanaceae.